GCGGAAGGCCCUUCGGGGUACUCGAGCGGCGAACGGGUGAGUAACACGUGAGCAACCUGCCCUAGGCUUUGGGAUAACCCUCGGAAACGGGGGCUAAUACCGAAUAGGACCUCUGACCGCAUGGUUGGUGGUGGAAAGUUUUUCGGCCUGGGAUGGGCUCGCGGCCUAUCAGCUUGUUGGUGGGGUGAUGGCCUACCAAGGCGACGACGGGUAGCCGGCCUGAGAGGGCGACCGGCCACACUGGGACUGAGACACGGCCCAGACUCCUACGGGAGGCAGCAGUGGGGAAUAUUGCACAAUGGGCGGAAGCCUGAUGCAGCGACGCCGCGUGAGGGAUGACGGCCUUCGGGUUGUAAACCUCUUUCAGCAGGGACGAAGCGUAAGUGACGGUACCUGCAGAAGAAGCGCCGGCCAACUACGUGCCAGCAGCCGCGGUAAGACGUAGGGCGCGAGCGUUGUCCGGAUUUAUUGGGCGUAAAGAGCUCGUAGGCGGCUUGUCGCGUCGACUGUGAAAACCCGCAGCUCAACUGCGGGCCUG
Molecule: ribosomal RNA, 538 nt
Filed under: Micromonospora sp. PC4025
Lineage: Bacteria; Bacillati; Actinomycetota; Actinomycetes; Micromonosporales; Micromonosporaceae
Description: bacterial SSU rRNA
Rfam family: Bacterial small subunit ribosomal RNA
Source: RNAcentral